Molecule: ribosomal RNA, 701 nt
Filed under: Enterococcus faecium
Lineage: Bacteria; Bacillati; Bacillota; Bacilli; Lactobacillales; Enterococcaceae
Description: bacterial SSU rRNA
Rfam family: Bacterial small subunit ribosomal RNA
Source: RNAcentral
GGGUGCUAUAAUGCAGUCGAACGCUUCUUUUUCCACCGGAGCUUGCUCCACCGGAAAAAGAGGAGUGGCGAACGGGUGAGUAACACGUGGGUAACCUGCCCAUCAGAAGGGGAUAACACUUGGAAACAGGUGCUAAUACCGUAUAACAAUCAAAACCGCAUGGUUUUGAUUUGAAAGGCGCUUUCGGGUGUCGCUGAUGGAUGGACCCGCGGUGCAUUAGCUAGUUGGUGAGGUAACGGCUCACCAAGGCCACGAUGCAUAGCCGACCUGAGAGGGUGAUCGGCCACAUUGGGACUGAGACACGGCCCAAACUCCUACGGGAGGCAGCAGUAGGGAAUCUUCGGCAAUGGACGAAAGUCUGACCGAGCAACGCCGCGUGAGUGAAGAAGGUUUUCGGAUCGUAAAACUCUGUUGUUAGAGAAGAACAAGGAUGAGAGUAACUGUUCAUCCCUUGACGGUAUCUAACCAGAAAGCCACGGCUAACUACGUGCCAGCAGCCGCGGUAAUACGUAGGUGGCAAGCGUUGUCCGGAUUUAUUGGGCGUAAAGCGAGCGCAGGCGGUUUCUUAAGUCUGAUGUGAAAGCCCCCGGCUCAACCGGGGAGGGUCAUUGGAAACUGGGAGACUUGAGUGCAGAAGAGGAGAGUGGAAUUCCAUGUGUAGCGGUGAAAUGCGUAGAUAUAUGGAGGAACACCAGUGGCGA